Long non-coding RNA from Solanum pennellii, 569 nucleotides. RefSeq lists it as uncharacterized. Lineage: Eukaryota; Viridiplantae; Streptophyta; Magnoliopsida; Solanales; Solanaceae. The transcript has 2 exons. The record is from RefSeq and is a predicted model, not a curated record.
AAAUUAAAGGUUGAAAACGUUUAGAUUUGAUUUGAUGGAGAAAAUUGUGUCAAUUUUAAUUAAACAUGGUGGCAAAUGGAAUUCAUCAGGAAAAUACGUCGACUUUGAGUUGGAGGGCAUCCUAUAUGAUACAUCUACUCUUUAUAUUGGUUUAGUUAAUGCUAUAGUAUCUCAACUUAAUAUAGAAGAAAAUAUAAAUUCUGUUGAGAUAAAAUAUAUUACAGCCUCAAGAAUUUCAGAGAUGCUUAUGCCAUUCCUGUCGAGCCUAUCCCGUGCGAGAGUACAUGGGAUAUACCAAGUUAUAUUUCAGAGCCUAAAAUGAUGCCACCCGGUCCAAAAAGAUCAGCGGGAAGACCCAAAUUUGAACGCUGGAAGGGGUUCGCUGAUGUGAAAUUCAAGAGGACAAAAAGCACAUGCAGUAGAUGCCAUCAAGUUGGACACAAUAGGAAGACAUGUUCAAAUUAUCCUGUACAAAAACAAUGAUUUCCUACUGUUACAUCUGUGUUUUUGAGUAUUUACAUUGUUAUAACAUUAUUUUUUUUAUUGAAUCAUAUUACUUUUCAUAAAAA